RNAcentral lists this transfer RNA (63 nucleotides) under Pogonistes gracilis. RNAcentral's name for it is "tRNA-Leu". The record is from RNAcentral. Lineage: Eukaryota; Metazoa; Arthropoda; Insecta; Coleoptera; Carabidae.
AUUAAUUAUUUUGGCAGAUUAGUGCAAUGAAUUUAGAAUUCAUAUAUGUAAUUUUUACAAAUA